AAACAUCUUCUCUUGUCUAUAUAUGAGAUAUGACCUGCCCUAUGAAUAAUUAAAUGGCCGCGGUACUUUGACCGUGCAAAGGUAGCAUAAUCAUUAGUUCAUUAAUUGUGGACUUGUAUGAAUGGUUUGACGAAACAUUAACUGUCUCAUUAUUAUUAUUAGAAUUUAAUAUUUGAGUGAAAAAGCUUAAAUUAUAUUAUAGGACGAGAAGACCCUAUAGAUUUUUAUUAUUAUUUAUUUUAUUUAUUUUAGGUUAUUUAUUAAUAAUUUACUUAAUUAUUUUGUUGGGGUGACAAGAAGAUUAAAUUAACUCUUCUUAUUUUAUACAUUUAUUUAUGAGUAUAGGAUCUUUUAUUAAUGAUUUAAGACAUAAAUACCUUAGGGAUAACAGCGUAAUUUUCUUUUAGAGUUCAUAUCGACAAGAAAGAUUGCGACCUCGAUGUUGGAUUAAGAUUAUUAUUAGGUGUAGAAGUUUAUAUAAUAGGUCUGUUCGACUUUUAAAUUCUUACAUGAUCUGAG
Molecule: ribosomal RNA, 519 nt
Filed under: Prisopus conocephalus
Lineage: Eukaryota; Metazoa; Arthropoda; Insecta; Phasmatodea; Prisopodidae
Description: partial large subunit ribosomal RNA
Rfam family: Bacterial large subunit ribosomal RNA
Source: RNAcentral